Long non-coding RNA from Sphaeramia orbicularis (orbiculate cardinalfish), 755 nucleotides. RefSeq lists it as uncharacterized. The transcript is spliced from 3 exons. Lineage: Eukaryota; Metazoa; Chordata; Actinopteri; Kurtiformes; Apogonidae. The record is from RefSeq and is a predicted model, not a curated record.
UCUUGGUCAUGUCUCCCUCAAUGACAUUUUAUUCUCAAUGGACCUGAGGUUAAGUUAUAAAUGUAAUGUACAUCCGUCACAUCAUCAGUCCAAAUGUGCCAAGUGUUCUCACCAGCGUUUCACUGAAUCCAAGCUCAAAUAUUAUUACCUCAUUGGAAGUUACUACGUAUGUACUACCCAUUUCCAUUCUGCUUUCCCACAAUGCCACAGGGCCCAGCAUGUGCAAUCUGUGCCCAGUCCCCUCUGAUCUAUUAUUAUUAUUAUUGAGUGGCUGUGUUAACAGGUCCAAAAUGACCAGUUGUGACAUUGUCUUGAGUAAGUAUCUGACCAUGUGUUUUUUUUUGUUAUAUCUGGGACAGAAAAUAAAGCUCCUCCCCUAGGAAAUGAAACUUGACUGUUUCAGUUUUUUGGGUACAAUAUCUUGUUACUCAGUAAGCCUACACUGUCCACCAGGGGCCUCUGAAGCUCUCUGGAAACUACUGCUGCUGAGAUUGGGGGAGGAUCCCACCAAUAACUACCUAUAGGACUGGGUGUGAAGUUCUGUGACGUGAGGAACUGCUGGAGUUGCUGCUGCUGUUGCUGCUGCUCGAGGAGAAGCUGUUUCUGCUGCUCUGACAGGAGGGAAGACCUGAAACCAAGCAACGACACACAUUUCAGAGUGGGUACAUACGGGCUCACACUCUUGGGAAGCUGGAAGCUCUGUGCCAACGCCUGAGGGUUGAGCGGCGGCGGCUGGGGGCGUAGGGCGGGCAGCG